CAUCUGCAUUUUUGUCAUCUUCAUUUCAAAGUGUUAUAUUAUUAGAUUCAGAAUCACCCUGAAUAAUUAGUCUCAGUAGAAUCUGUCUUUCCAUUUCCAAAACGCUGUCCCUGCCAGUAUCAGGGCCUAUUUCUACAAUGGGGUAUACCAUCUAAAUAUGUAAACAUUGGGAUCCUGCAUGUCCAGAUUGCUUAGGACCAGGAGUCGUCAUGGCAGGAAAAUCUGGUCACCUGGAGUGCUCAGACCCACGGCAGCUUCCCGGUGCUGAACUGACUCUUGGCCCUCCUGAUGUGCCCGUUGUUUCCUCAGUUGCCCCUACACCACCCACACACGCACCGUCCUGAACCCCCUUGCUCCAGCUCUGCCUGUGUUCUGGCUUUGCUGUUCCUUCAGGGUGUUCUUCCAGUUCCUCAAUUGUCUUUAUUAACCAGGAGGCGUGGAUGAGCGGGAGCAGGAAAUCUAAGGUCUCUCUCUCUUGCACAGCGUGUAUGUGUGUGUGUGAGAGAGAGAGAGAGAGAAUGAGUGACUUAAGCCUACAGAGCUGCUCACUUUCACACAGCCAUCCAGCCAUGCUAACUUUCACCUUGAAACUAUACUGCCAGCCUGCUCAGUCCCUGGAGCUAGUGCAUUGUCCACAGGAAAUGAGCAGCGUGGGGUAACUGAAUUUUCGAGUUAGGCCAUUCUGUUUUUGAAUUUAUUUUUAAUUGAGGAUAGUUGCUUUGUAA
Molecule: long non-coding RNA, 725 nt
Filed under: Capra hircus (goat)
Lineage: Eukaryota; Metazoa; Chordata; Mammalia; Artiodactyla; Bovidae
Description: lncRNA (ENSCHIG00010032112.1)
Source: RNAcentral